UCUGCAGCUUCUUCUCAGCCUCCUUUGUGACUCUCAACUCUUGUCGUCUUUUUUCUCCUUGCAGCUUCAAAAGGUUUGGGAUUCGUAAAUUGGUUUGGAUAUUUGAAAUGAAGUUGUAUCAAAGCAAUGGAGAUGAAUGGCGAUGAAGGCUCUUGACAGUGACAGUGAGUUCGGGGACAAUGGCGAUUUCAACAGCAAUGAGUUGAAUAUGGAGCAGGAAGAGGAUGACUUUGAUGAUGAGCACGACGGCGAGGAGAAGGAAGAAGAAUCAGAAAAUGAGGAAGAAGAUGGAGAAGAAGUUGGGGAAGAGGAAAAUGGCGAUGGGCAAAAUGAUAAUAAAGAUGCCGAGAUGGAAGAACUCGAGAAAAAAUACAUGAACCUUCGUCAUCAGGAGCAGUAAGAGACUUCUCUUCACAAUCCUUUUAUUUUUAAAGAAAGAUCUUCUUAAAGGUCAAGCAGUGAAGAACCAAAGGAGACAUCAUUUUAUUCCUUGAAAAAGUUGCAUGCUAAGAAGAGGAAGAUUGUUGACAGAAGAGCCUCUAAUAGUCGCAAGAUAAGGUAUAAUGUGUAUGAGAAGAUAGUAAAUUUCAUGGGUCCAGAGACCAUGGUCAUUUCUCCUAUGCUUCCUGACCUCAAUAAUUUGUUCGGGUUGAAGAAGUAGAAACCAGCUUCCGUAGUGUAGUAGCGAUGCAAGGCUGAAUCAGCUGUAUAGUCCUUGAAUCUCAGGCUAAGAAAUUGUCUGCUGUUAAUUUAUUUGAUAUAUUAUUCAAUCUAAUAUCUGUUGCACUGAUAUUUAUGUAAUUUACACAAUUUUUCAAUGGGAGCCGAGUCUUUAAGAUGUA
This is an RNA transcript of Pyrus x bretschneideri (Chinese white pear), 842 nucleotides long. It is a transcript of the gene named major centromere autoantigen B-like, with no coding region annotated. Lineage: Eukaryota; Viridiplantae; Streptophyta; Magnoliopsida; Rosales; Rosaceae. The record is from RefSeq and is a predicted model, not a curated record. The transcript is spliced from 4 exons.